Molecule: ribosomal RNA, 253 nt
Filed under: uncultured bacterium
Lineage: Bacteria
Description: partial 16S ribosomal RNA
Rfam family: Bacterial small subunit ribosomal RNA
Source: RNAcentral
UACAGAGGUCCCAAGCGUUGUUCGGAUUCACUGGGCGUAAAGGGUGCGUAGGUGGCUUGGUAAGUCUGAUGUGAAAGCCCUGGGCUCAACCUGGGAAUGGCAUUGGAUACUGGCGACCUAGAGUGCGGUAGAGGGGUGUGGAAUUCCCGGUGUAGCAGUGAAAUGCGUAGAUAUCGGGAGGAACAUCUGUGGCGAAGGCGACACCCUGGACCAGCACUGACACUGAGGCACGAAAGCGUGGGGAGCAAACAGG